GGAGUUAGCCGGUGCUUCUUCUGCGAGUAACGUCACAGAUGUAAGGUAUUAACUUACACCCUUUCCUCCUCGCUGAAAGUGCUUUACAACCCGAAGGCCUUCUUCACACACGCGGCAUGGCUGCAUCAGGGUUUCCCCCAUUGUGCAAUAUUCCCCACUGCUGCCUCCCGUAGGAGUCUGGGCCGUGUCUCAGUCCCAGUGUGGCUGAUCAUCCUCUCAGACCAGCUAGGGAUCGUCGCCUAGGUGAGCCUUUACCUCACCUACUAGCUAAUCCCACCUGGGCUUAUCCAUCAGCGCAAGGCCCGAAGGUCCCCUGCUUUCCCCCGUAGGGCGUAUGCGGUAUUAGCAGUCGUUUCCAACUGUUAUCCCCCACAAAUGGGCAAAUUCCCAGGCAUUACUCACCCGUCGCCGCUCGUCAUCUUCAAAAGCAAGCUUUUGAAUGUACGCUCGACUUGCAUGUGUAGUCGUCGCCGCCGACGCGUCUACUACUCGAGACGACGACGUACAACUACUACGACGUACGAGGCGGGCGUCGGCGACGGACGCGACGUAG
RNAcentral lists this ribosomal RNA (553 nucleotides) under uncultured bacterium. Its description in RNAcentral is "partial 16S ribosomal RNA". The record is from RNAcentral.